UGGGGAAUAUUGCACAAUGGGCGCAAGCCUGAUGCAGCCAUGCCGCGUGUAUGAAGAAGGCCUUCGGGUUGUAAAGUACUUUCAGCGGGGAGGAAGGGAGUAAAGUUAAUACCUUUGCUCAUUGACGUUACCCGCAGAAGAAGCACCGGCUAACUCCGUGCCAGCAGCCGCGGUAAUACGGAGGGUGCAAGCGUUAAUCGGAAUUACUGGGCGUAAAGCGCACGCAGGCGGUUUGUUAAGACAGAUGUGAAAUCCUCGGGCUCAACCUGGGAACUGCAUCUGAUACUGGCAAGCGUGAGUCUCGUAGAGGGGGGUAGAAUUCCAGGUGUAGCGGUGAAAUGCGUAGAGAUCUGGAGGAAUACCGGUGGCGAAGGCGGCCCCCUGGACGAAGACUGACGCUCAGGUGCGAAAGCGUGGGGAGCAAACAGG
Molecule: ribosomal RNA, 429 nt
Filed under: Chloroflexota bacterium
Lineage: Bacteria; Bacillati; Chloroflexota
Description: Chloroflexi bacterium partial 16S ribosomal RNA
Rfam family: Bacterial small subunit ribosomal RNA
Source: RNAcentral